CCUGUAAUCCCAGCUACUCAGGAGGCUGAGGCAGGAGAAUUGCCUGAACCCAGGAGGCGGAGGUUGCAGUGAGCCUAGAUUGCGUCACUACAAUC
This is a long non-coding RNA of Sapajus apella (tufted capuchin), 95 nucleotides long. RefSeq lists it as uncharacterized. Lineage: Eukaryota; Metazoa; Chordata; Mammalia; Primates; Cebidae. The transcript is spliced from 3 exons. The record is from RefSeq and is a predicted model, not a curated record.